CUUUAAUGUUUGAUGUUCUAACGUUGACCCGUGAUCCGGGUUGCGGACAGUGUCUGGUGGGUAGUUUGACUGGGGCGGUCUCCUCCUAAAGAGUAACGGAGGAGCACGAAGGUUGGCUAAUCCUGGUCGGACAUCAGGAGGUUAGUGCAAUGGCAUAAGCCAGCUUGACUGCGAGCGUGACGGCGCGAGCAGGUGCGAAAGCAGGUCAUAGUGAUCCGGUGGUUCUGAAUGGAAGGGCCAUCGCUCAACGGAUAAAAGGUACUCCGGGGAUAACAGGCUGAUACCGCCCAAGAGUUCAUAUCGACGGCGGUGUUUGGCACCUCGAUGUCGGCUCAUCACAUCCUGGGGCUGAAGUAGGUCCCAAGGGUAUGGCUGUUCGCCAUUUAAAGUGGUACGCGAGCUGGGUUUAGAACGUCGUGAGACAGUUCGGUCCCUAUCUGCCGUGGGCGCUGGAGAACUGAGGGGGGCUGCUCCUAGUACGAGAGGACCGGAGUGGACGCAUCACUGGUGUUCGGGUUGUCAUGCCAAUGGCACUGCCCGGUAGCUAAAUGCGGAAGAGAUAAGUGCUGAAAGCAUCUAAGCACGAAACUUGCCCCGAGAUGAGUUCUCCCUGACCCUUUAAGGGUCCUGAAGGAACGUUGAAGACGACGACGUUGAUAGGCCGGGUGUGUAAGCGCAGCGAUGCGUUGAGCUAACCGGUACUA
RNAcentral lists this ribosomal RNA (704 nucleotides) under Escherichia coli. Its description in RNAcentral is "partial 23S ribosomal RNA". It matches the Rfam family "Bacterial large subunit ribosomal RNA", at positions 2205 to 2903 of the family's 2925-position model. Lineage: Bacteria; Pseudomonadati; Pseudomonadota; Gammaproteobacteria; Enterobacterales; Enterobacteriaceae. The record is from RNAcentral.